Molecule: ribosomal RNA, 761 nt
Filed under: Corymbia rubra
Lineage: Eukaryota; Metazoa; Arthropoda; Insecta; Coleoptera; Cerambycidae
Description: eukaryotic LSU rRNA
Rfam family: Eukaryotic large subunit ribosomal RNA
Source: RNAcentral
AAAAUUAAGCGGAGGAAAGAAACUAACUAGGAUUCCCUCAGUAGCUGCGAGCGAACAGGGAAGAGCCCAGCACCGAAUCCCACGGCCGAUACCGGGCGCUGGGAAAUGUGGUGUUAGGGAGGAUCCGUUUAUCCCGAGGUCGUGCGGUGCGUCCAAGUCCUUCUUGAACGGGGCCACAGCCCAUAGAGGGUGCCAGGCCCGUAGCGACCGCUGCCGAUCGCGGGAGGAUCUCUCCUCAGAGUCGGGUUGCUUGAGAGUGCAGCCCUAAGUGGGUGGUAAACUCCAUCUAAGGCUAAAUAUGACCAUGAGACCGAUAGCGAACAAGUACCGUGAGGGAAAGUUGAAAAGCACUUUGAAGAGAGAGUUCAAGAGUACGUGAAACCGUUCAGGGGUAAACCUGAGAAACCCGAAAGGUCGAAAGGGGAAAUUCAUUCGCGUUUCGGCAGUCGGCGUCGGAUGGAUAGAGUGACGGAUGGCGUACGCGUCGUCCGCGCCUUCCUUCCUUCGAACCGGCGUCGAACGCGUGCACUUUUCCCCUAGUAGGACGUCGUGAUCCGUUGGGUGUCGGUCUAAGGCCCGUGGUGGAGCCCGUUGUGGAAGUUUCGGCUUCUGCUCGGACCUGCGGUGUCCCGGCCGACUCGCUCGACGGUAUACAGAUGGCGAGGGGCCGCUACUCAGUUAGCGUCCGGCCUGCGGCAAGCGCGUUCGGUGUUUGACGGCGAUCGGACCUGGUGCCGGUCCUGUCCCCGAACGACUGUUGG